AGAGUUUGAUCAUGGCUCAGAUUGAACGCUGGCGGCAUUUACACAUGCAAGUCGAACGGGCUUGGGGGCAACUCCAAGUCAGUGGCGAACGGGUGAGUAAUGCAUCGGAACGUGUCCAGAAGUGGGGGGAUAACCCGGCGAAAGCCGGGCUAAUACCGCAUAUUCUCCACGGAGGAAAGCGGGGGAUCGCAAGACCUCGUGCUUUUGGAGCGGCCGAUGUCCGAUUAGUUUGUUGGUGGGGUAACGGCCUACCAAGGCGACGAUCGGUAGCUGGUCUGAGAGGAUGAUCAGCCACACUGGGACUGAGACACGGCCCAGACUCCUACGGGAGGCAGCAGUGGGGAAUUUUGGACAAUGGGGGAAACCCUGAUCCAGCCAUGCCGCGUGCGGGAAGAAGGCCUUCGGGUUGUAAACCGCUUUUAGCUGGGAAGAAAAGAUCACGGAUAACACCCGUGGUUCUUGACGGUACCGGCGGAAUAAGCACCGGCUAACUACGUGCCAGCAGCCGCGGUAAUACGUAGGGUGCGAGCGUUAAUCGGAAUUACUGGGCGUAAAGCGUGCGCAGGCGGUUCGUUGUGUCCGUCGUGAAAGCCCCGGGCUUAACCUGGGAACUGCGAUGGAAACUAGCGAGCUGGAGUGUGGCAGAGGGGGGUGGAAUUCCGCGUGUAGCAGUGAAAUGCGUAGAGAUGCGGAGGAACACCGAUGGCGAAGGCAGCCCCCUGGGCUAACACUGACGCUCAGGCACGAAAGCGUGGGGAGCAAACAGGAUUAGAUACCCCAGUAGUCC
This 787-nucleotide ribosomal RNA is filed under the name uncultured bacterium. Its description in RNAcentral is "bacterial SSU rRNA". It matches the Rfam family "Bacterial small subunit ribosomal RNA", at positions 8 to 796 of the family's 1533-position model. The record is from RNAcentral.